UACGGGGGAUGCAAGCGUUAUCCGGAAUGAUUGGGCGUAAAGCGUCCGCAGGUGGCUAUGUAAGUCUGCUGUUAAAGAGUCUGGCUCAACCAGAUAAAGGCAGUGGAAACUACAUGGCUAGAGUGCGUUCGGGGCAGAGGGAAUUCCUGGUGUAGCGGUGAAAUGCGUAGAGAUCAGGAAGAACACCGGUGGCGAAAGCGCUCUGCUAGGCCGCAACUGACACUGAGGGACGAAAGCUAGGGGAGCGAAUGGG
Molecule: ribosomal RNA, 253 nt
Filed under: uncultured bacterium
Lineage: Bacteria
Description: partial 16S ribosomal RNA
Rfam family: Bacterial small subunit ribosomal RNA
Source: RNAcentral